Cucumis sativus (cucumber) is the source of this 847-nucleotide RNA transcript. It is a transcript of the gene named splicing factor 3B subunit 6-like protein, with no coding region annotated. The transcript has 3 exons. The record is from RefSeq and is a predicted model, not a curated record. Lineage: Eukaryota; Viridiplantae; Streptophyta; Magnoliopsida; Cucurbitales; Cucurbitaceae.
CCAUCCUCUCUCCGCAGUUUCCAGCAUUUCGAAUUUUCUCGCAGUUUCUCUUUCCCCAAGCAGGCUCCAAAGAAACCUUCCGCCAUGGCAACAUUCAGCCUUCCCCGCAAGGGAAAUACGAGGCUGCCGCCGGAGGUCAACAGAGUCUUGUUCGUAAGAAAUUUGCCCUUCAACAUCACCAGCGAAGAGAUGUACGAUAUCUUCGGCAAAUACGGCGCGAUACGGCAGAUUCGGAUUGGUACGAACAAGGAUACUAGAGGUACCGCCUUUGUCGUUUACGAAGAUAUCUAUGAUGCUAAGACGGCGGUGGAUCAUCUCUCCGGUUUCAAUGUUGCGAAUCGGUAUCUGAUCGUGUUGUACUACCAGCAAGCCAAGAUGAGUAAAAAAUUCGACCAGAAGAAGAAAGAGGAUGAACUCGCUAGGAUGCAGGAGAAGUACGGUGUUUCCACGAAAGAUAAGUAAAAGGUAAUUGUUGGGAGAGUAAUAAUGGAGGAAGUUUUGGCAAAUUAGAGACCAACCUAUGAGUAGACACAUAUUCUUGUGGAGAAGUAUCAAAGUUUCGAAGAUACUAAGUACAAAAAUGGCGUUUGUGCCGUUGUUACGAAUUCCUAUGGGGCCAUUUGAACAGAAAAAGAGUGUCUUUGAAGAUGAUGGUUUAGAAAGCAAGGCGUCUUCUUCGCCCUUACCUAAAAUGUUUCCCUUUCAUGUUUAUUUUUAUAUUACAAUUUUGUUGAAGUUUCUGUUUAUGUUGUGUUUGGAUUUGGAUUGUAUUUUCACAUUCAGAGUGUCAACAACUAUGAUAGAUCCUCGAGUAUAUUUUAGUAAAAGAAAGUAUAUUGUUCGAAUC